This 217-nucleotide non-coding RNA is filed under the name Actinophytocola xinjiangensis. Lineage: Bacteria; Bacillati; Actinomycetota; Actinomycetes; Pseudonocardiales; Pseudonocardiaceae. The record is from RNAcentral.
AGUGUCAUGCGCGCUGGUGGUUCGUGACGGCCGGUUCGGUCGGCGCGAGGCAAGAGGGAACCCGGUGUGAAUCCGGGACUGGCCCGCAGCGGUAAGUGGGAACGACAGCCGUCAUCAAGCACUGGGCACGGUGUGCCUGGGAAGCGACGGCCAGUAGGUCUGCCGAGUCCGGCAGGUGCCCGCGAGUCCGAAGACCUGCCACCAGCCCGCGCCCUCG